Hemiscyllium ocellatum (epaulette shark) is the source of this 1149-nucleotide long non-coding RNA. RefSeq lists it as uncharacterized. NCBI's taxonomy places the organism in Eukaryota, Metazoa, Chordata, Chondrichthyes, Orectolobiformes, Hemiscylliidae. The record is from RefSeq and is a predicted model, not a curated record. The transcript is spliced from 4 exons.
AGGCCAGUCAGGGAAAAUGGCGGCGGCAGGGAGGACCACAUGGUGAAGUGGAGACUCUGUCACUGUCAGGAGGCGGCAGCUUGCAUUUGUAUAGUCGUGUGAAAUGCAGGCACGAGUGCAGUUGGGGAGCGGUUUGGAGUCUCGAAGUGGGUGCUGUGGGAUGACUUCCUGCUCGUGGAAACUGCAAAGCAGAAUGAAGGCUGCGAUUCCCUAGAUCGCAGAGAUGUUAAGAUACUGUGGUAAAGCCAAUGGUGCCCGAUGAGGUCUGCCAGUACACGCACGCUCAUGUUGUGAUGCCUGUGGGGGUCCCGUUGCCUCCUGACAGGUGCCUGAAGAGCCAACAGAGCACAGUCCUCCGAUUCUUCAACAACAAACCCACGCGUCCAGAAACUCGAGCCAUCCUUCCAUAUAUCAGACUCCUCUGACCCCCUUGGCAUUGUGGUAGCCCACAAACCUACCAACUGCUACUGGUGAACCUAAAGGACACUAUACCCACAACCAGCAAAACGAAUGUCAUUUACAAAAUACCGUGCAAGGACUUUAACAGAUACUACAUCGGACAGACAGGCAGGAAACUAGCCACCAGGAUAUACAAACACCAACUAGCCAUCAGAAGAUAUGACCCACUAUCACUUGCGUACAGACGAAGAUGGGCACCACUUCGACUGGGUCAACACAUCCGUCCUGGGACAGGCUAAACAGAGACGCGCACGGGAAUUCCUAGAAACCUGGCAUUCCGACGGGAACUCAAUCAACAAACACAUCGAUUUGGACCGCAUUUCUGAGAAGCAGAACCGGGAAUGAUGCCCCCCACCACAACAGCCCAAGACGGACAAGCGAGACGGAACCCCAGCGCUUCACCCGAGGCUCACUGACGAUGUCACCGAGGUACGGUGACGUAACGUCUGAGAACAGACCGUCCAGCUUAGCCAGCCAACUUCCGACCUGGACCUCAAGCUGAGCUACCGAUCUUCUCCAAAAUGGCAGAAGACAGAGUUUCGGAAGAGGAAGUUGCCAUUGACUGCUCUCCCAGAGUUUCCUAACUGGACAGAACCACCCCAGGUUGCAGUUUGGAGCUGAGGAAAGGGAGCUGGAGGCAAGGUGGAACCCAGCUCUGGCUCCUGCUGUACAAUAAAAGCUAGAAAUACA